CACCAGUAACUAUCAUGUCUUACCUUGGCCAAUCAGGCCUUAUGAUCUGGCUGGCACCCAUUUUUCUCUUUGACCAGCUCUUGCACCACUACCCCCUUAUCUACAAGCCUCUCUGACCUGCUGCCUGUGCCUUUGAUAUUCCAGGCUUCCCCUCUCUUUGGCACUCAGGCUCCUAAGAGGGCCACCCUACCCACAGUGAUUCCCACCUCUCCAUAUUCACACCCUUUGUGUAGGCUGGAACUAGUGAUUCGCCUUUAAAGAACAGAAUAUGGCAAAGGUGAUGUCACAUCCAUGUUUAGGUUGCAAAAGACUGUAACUUCCAUCUUAUUGGCUCUCUCUCUCUCUCUCCUUCUCACUUUCUCACUCAGAUGACGCAAGUUUCCAUGUCGUGAGCUGCCCUAUGAGGUGGUUUACUUGCGAGGAACUAAGAGUGGCCUCCAGCCAACAGCCAACAAGGAACUGAAGGCCUCAGUCUAGCAGCUUGAGAGAAACUGAAUCGUGCCAUCAAUCAUUGUGCUUUGAAGAGAUACUGCAUUUUUUUACAAACUGAAGAUUUGUGGUAACCCUCCAUCUAGGAAAUCUGUCAGUGCCAAUUUUCCAACAGUGUGGGCUUAUUUCAUUUCGCUGUGUCACAUUUUGUUAAUUCUUCGGAAAUUGUCACAGCUACCCAACCUUCAGCAACCACCACCCUGAUCAGUCAGCAGCUGUCAACAUUGAGAUAAGACCCUUUGCCAGCAGAAAAGAUUAUGAUUUGCUGAAGGCUCAGGUUUAUUAUUUAGCAAUAAAGUGUUUUGUUUUGUUUUGUUU
Non-coding RNA from Macaca mulatta (Rhesus monkey), 807 nucleotides. Lineage: Eukaryota; Metazoa; Chordata; Mammalia; Primates; Cercopithecidae. The record is from RefSeq and is a predicted model, not a curated record.